GUUUGACUCCUUAAUCACAGCUGCUUAUUUGGCUUACAACAGUGGAUGCUAAACUACUUAAGCAAAGGUAUUCACUGAAACGAGUUGUUCGGAAGAAUCGGUUCUUUAAAUCGAAUCGAAUCGUUAGCAACAUUGCCUAACAUCAUUAGCAUCAAAGCUGGUAGUGGUGGAUAUAUUUAGGGACAGAGAAACAGACGUUUUACGAGUUCUUGCAACCAUCUUUAAGAACGGGAAAGAACACAAGAAACUGCAUUUGAAUAUUUAAAAGUGUGUUUGGGCCAUUUGUACUUUCAAUACAUUCUUAAUCCAUUAUUCAUUACAAAAUAUUGAAUAUUUUAAUACGUUUUUGUACCUUUACUGUUAAACUGUUUAAUUUAUUACUUGUCACAAAAAAUGUUAUUUAAACAUUUGUAAUAUUAUACAGUAAAAUAAAAUG
Trichomycterus rosablanca is the source of this 436-nucleotide long non-coding RNA. RefSeq lists it as uncharacterized. NCBI's taxonomy places the organism in Eukaryota, Metazoa, Chordata, Actinopteri, Siluriformes, Trichomycteridae. The transcript has 3 exons. The record is from RefSeq and is a predicted model, not a curated record.